RNAcentral lists this ribosomal RNA (497 nucleotides) under uncultured bacterium. Its description in RNAcentral is "partial 16S ribosomal RNA". It matches the Rfam family "Bacterial small subunit ribosomal RNA", at positions 28 to 507 of the family's 1533-position model. The record is from RNAcentral.
GAUGAACGCUGGCGGCGUGCCUAAUACAUGCCAGUCGAGCGAACGGACGAGAAGCUUGCUUCUCUGAUGUUAGCGGCGGACGGGUGAGUAACACGUGGAUAACCUACCUAUAAGACUGGGAUAACUUCGGGAAACCGGAGCUAAUACCGGAUAAUAUUUUGAACCGCAUGGUUCAAAAGUGAAAGACGGUCUUGCUGUCACUUAUAGAUGGAUCCGCGCUGCAUUAGCUAGUUGGUAAGGUAACGGCUUACCAAGGCAACGAUGCAUAGCCGACCUGAGAGGGUGAUCGGCCACACUGGAACUGAGACACGGUCCAGACUCCUACGGGAGGCAGCAGUAGGGAAUCUUCCGCAAUGGGCGAAAGCCUGACGGAGCAACGCCGCGUGAGUGAUGAAGGUCCUCGGAUCGUAAAACUCUGUUAUUAGGGAAGAACAUAUGUGUAAGUAACUGUGCACAUCUUGACGGUACCUAAUCAGAAAGCCACGGCUAACUACGUG